UACGUAGGGGGCAAGCGUUGUCCGGAUUUAUUGGGCGUAAAGAGCUCGUAGGCGGCUCGUCGCGUCGACCGUGAAAACCCGCGGCUUAACUGCGGGCUUGCGGUUGAUACGGGCGGGCUAGAGUUCGGUAGGGGAGACUGGAAUUCCUGGUGUAGCGGUGAAAUACGCAGAUAUCGGGAGGAACACCAAUGGCGAAAGCAGGUACCUGGACUAUUACUGACACUAAGCUGCGAAAGCUAGGGGAGCAAACAGG
RNAcentral lists this ribosomal RNA (253 nucleotides) under uncultured bacterium. RNAcentral's name for it is "partial 16S ribosomal RNA". It matches the Rfam family "Bacterial small subunit ribosomal RNA", at positions 524 to 776 of the family's 1533-position model. The record is from RNAcentral.